ACAGGUGGUGCAUGGUUGUCGUCAGCUCGUGUCGUGAGAUGUUGGGUUAAGUCCCGCAACGAGCGCAACCCUUGAUCUUAGUUGCCAGCAUUCAGUUGGGCACUCUAAGGUGACUGCCGGUGACAAACCGGAGGAAGGUGGGGAUGACGUCAAAUCAUCAUGCCCCUUAUGACCUGGGCUACACACGUGCUACAAUGGACAGAACAAAGGGCAGCGAAACCGCGAGGUUAAGCCAAUCCCACAAAUCUGUUCUCAGUUCGGAUCGCAGUCUGCAACUCGACUGCGUGAAGCUGGAAUCGCUAGUAAUCGCGGAUCAGCAUGCCGCGGUGAAUACGUUCCCGGGCCUUGUACAACCCGCCCGU
Molecule: ribosomal RNA, 362 nt
Filed under: Bacillus subtilis
Lineage: Bacteria; Bacillati; Bacillota; Bacilli; Caryophanales; Bacillaceae
Description: bacterial SSU rRNA
Rfam family: Bacterial small subunit ribosomal RNA
Source: RNAcentral